GCUGAGCUUAGACCCGCCUGUGGUUCUCUACAAACACUUAUAGUAUUUAGAAUGUAAACCUGCGUAUAAUAACGCAUCUUAUACAACUUUCAGCAACGGAUCUCUUGGCUCUCGCAUCGAUGAAGAACGCAGCGAAAUGCGAUAAGUAAUGUGAAUUGCAGAAUUCAGUGAAUCAUCGAAUCUUUGAACGCACCUUGCGCUCCUUGGUAUUCCGAGGAGCAUGCCUGUUUGAGUGUCAUGGUAUUCUCAAUUCCCUAAAUCUUUGCGGAUUUGGGUGAAUUGGAUGUGGAGGUGAUUGCUGGCGUGCGUUUUUUAAAUGGCGUGCCGGCUCCUCUGAAAUGAAUUAGCGGGAAUGUUGCCGUGUCAACCUCAGUGUGAUAAUUAUCUGCGCUGUUGUUGCUCAGCAAAAAUAUAUGUUCUCGCUUCGAAUCGUCUUUGGACAAUUUCUUGACAAUCUGACCUCAAAUCAGGUAGGACUACCCGCUGAACU
RNAcentral lists this ribosomal RNA (490 nucleotides) under Neolentinus kauffmanii. Its description in RNAcentral is "eukaryotic LSU rRNA". The stretch from base 85 to 238 matches the Rfam family "5.8S ribosomal RNA". The record is from RNAcentral. Lineage: Eukaryota; Fungi; Basidiomycota; Agaricomycetes; Gloeophyllales; Gloeophyllaceae.